CAGCUUAUAUCUCUAGUUAUCAGUUGAGGAUUUUGCCUUAGAGAAUGAGGUUGUAAACUUGCAGAGGUGGGUGGCAGGCCCUGUAUGUGUGGAUCCAGCAUGCAGCCGAAGAGGCUUGCCACCGAACCUCCAUGUAUAACAGAGGAUGUAUUUGAAGACUACUUGGCCACAGAUGAUAUGCUUGUAGACUACUUUAAUGAAUUUUUGAGUCUUCCGCCCAGCGUCAGAGGCCUCAGUGAAAUAGUGCAGUGAUGUCAACUUGUCUGUGCUAAACUCUACAAGCUACCUGCUAUUYGUUCCACUCCAUGCUGCUGCCCUAGCCUUCAUUUUCAAACUACCAGUGGAUUGGGUCCUCACCGAGACACGCUUUUCCUCUUCGUGACCUACUUGAAGAGCCGCACUAUGGUCAAAAGGGCUAACUGCACCUUGGCUGAAGUGCAUUCGGGAGAUGGCACUCUCGGUGGCAAGGCCCUGGCUGCGGGCUUCCCUUGCAGCAGAAAGGUGACCACAAUGUUAUCAACUUCAGAUCUGAAGACGAACUUCUUUUGAAAGUCUUUCCCCUAUAAAAGCUCUCAGCUCAUAAAAAAAGGACAAGCAAUUAUUUUAUCUCAUUUAUUACAAUAAAAUUAAACAUACUCUCCUUUCCUUGCUUAGG
Molecule: long non-coding RNA, 655 nt
Filed under: Dromaius novaehollandiae (emu)
Lineage: Eukaryota; Metazoa; Chordata; Aves; Casuariiformes; Dromaiidae
Description: lncRNA (ENSDNVG00000007438.1)
Source: RNAcentral